CCGCCAAUAACUCCUCCAUCGUGUUACUCGAGAGGUGUACAGGAAGACUAAGAAUAGGUAAAGGAUCCAAAUCAGCUGAUUAUUGAAUGGAGGCAAAUUUCAUUGUUUUGAUGUUGAAUUGAAGGAACUCGAAGAAUUGAAUUAACCAGCCUAAAGCCAAAAGAUCGGAUGCUUUCCGAGGAAACCCUGGCUGUGAUAAACUCUAGGGU
This 209-nucleotide long non-coding RNA is filed under the name Penaeus japonicus. RNAcentral describes it as "uncharacterized LOC122259761". Lineage: Eukaryota; Metazoa; Arthropoda; Malacostraca; Decapoda; Penaeidae. The record is from RNAcentral.